Molecule: long non-coding RNA, 421 nt
Filed under: Homo sapiens (human)
Lineage: Eukaryota; Metazoa; Chordata; Mammalia; Primates; Hominidae
Description: HSALNT0159978
Source: RNAcentral
GGUUUGGAGUCUCAAAUAGAAGCAUUAAAGGCAAAUUUAGAGAAUGAGAAAAAGAAGGUGGAAAGGUUUAGGAAGGAAGCUGAUCGACUAAAUAAAAGCUGGGAAAAGAGAUUCUUUAUUCUCAGGAACAGUGUCCUCUUUGCCUUUUUCAAAAUGGAGAAACUGUAAAAUUCUGAAAAGGACAAAAACGAUGCAAAUUGGAAAAAUGCUUAUUUUUUCCCUUACCCUAACAUGUUAACAUUAAAAAUCUGUCUUCUGUUUAGUUGUGUUCUGCCAUAAUUUCCCCCAGAUUCCCUGGGGGAACAUGUAUGGGAAGUUCUUUUGCAAUAUUCUUUCACAGUCAAGCAUCAUCCAGGCACGAUGGGUUUAAUGUUGGUCUGAUGGAGGCCAUCGGAGGUCAAACUUGAAGCUUACACAAAAG